AGCAGUCUUAAAGAGCUGUGCCAUGCAUUCUGCAUCCAGUGAGAGAAAGAUGGUGGAGGCCAAAACCAAAAUUACAGCCUGCUCCAUUCAGAUUCAGGAACUCGUUUGCCUGUGCCCUGCUUCCCUGAGAGCCCAGAGUGACUGAUUGCAGACCCUGGACUUCUGCAGGCUUAAACCAGUAGGGCACCUUUCAGCCUGGAUCUGAAUGCACAACUUCAGCAAAUGGGGGACAUACAUACAGAAGGCUUGACAAACCACAGUAUGCAAGAUGACUGCUGCUGUGCCAGAUACCACAUCAAUAUCCAAGGAGAAAGAAGGAGGGAAGGAGCAGCUUCAGAGGUCUCUCUAAC
Non-coding RNA from Odocoileus virginianus texanus, 350 nucleotides. The record is from RefSeq and is a predicted model, not a curated record. Lineage: Eukaryota; Metazoa; Chordata; Mammalia; Artiodactyla; Cervidae.